RNAcentral lists this long non-coding RNA (1083 nucleotides) under Anser brachyrhynchus (Pink-footed goose). RNAcentral's name for it is "lncRNA (ENSABRG00000022852.1)". Lineage: Eukaryota; Metazoa; Chordata; Aves; Anseriformes; Anatidae. The record is from RNAcentral.
AUGGCCGCCGACGGCAGCCCUGAGGAGGAGGAAGAUGGCGGCACUGCCAAUGCUUCCGUGCCCAGUGCUGCAGAAGAGGGAGGCGGCGAGGGGGAGGAAGAGCUGAAGGGAGGCCUGAGUGGGGCCAUGGGGCCCAGCCAGGAGGGGCCCCACAGGGCACAGGGCCCUGGGGAGGAUGACGCCAUGUUGGGCGCCCCUGAGGCAGGGGGAGAGGCCGCCCACCAGCCUGGCCCACAAGCUGGCUUCCAUGACCAGGAGGAUGAGGAGACUGAUGCUGGCUCCAAAGAAGUGGCCACUGAGGAGCAGGGGAAGCCUGAAGGAGAGAAAAUGGAGGAGCCAAGAGUGGUGUCUGCUCCUGAAACUGGAGAAGAAGGGGAAGAGCAGAGCUCAGAGGAAGAUGACGAGCAGGGGGAAUCUGAGGAAGAGGGAGAUGAAGGUGGAGAGUCUGAAGAAGAUGGAAGCAAAGGAGAGUCGGAGGAGGAGGAAAAGUCUGAGGAGGACGGAGAGUCUGAGGAGGACGCUGCUGGCCCAGCAGGGCCAGAGGACGGAGCUGAAGGAAGUGACAAGGAAGAGACCAGCACUUUAGGGGAAAGUGGCCACAGCAAAGCAGCAGCUGCCAGCAAGGGAGAAGCCAAGGAUGGCCCUACCAGCUGCCAUCACCCACCAUGUGGGGACGUGGAGCCUGGCUCUGGCAGCAGCAGCCCAGCAACAGCAGAAAACCCACCUACAGCAGUGGAAGAACCAGCAGCAGCAGAAGACCCACCAGCAGCUGUUGAAACUCCACCAGCAGUAGUGAAAAACCCACCAGCAGCAGAAGACCCUCCAACAGCAGAAGACCCUCCAACAGCAGAAGACCCUCCAGCAGUGGAAGACCCUCCAACAGCAGAAGACCCUCCAACAGCAGAAGACCCACCGGCAGCAGUGGAAGCCCCCCCUGCAGACAACCCAUCGCUGGCAGAAACGGAGAGCCCACCCAGCCCCAGUGCCCACCCUGCUGCCGCUGAGCACCAGCACAGACAGAUAGGUUGGAGUCUUUUGCUGUUGGUGUGCCGUAGCGUAGUGAGCAGAGGGCGGCGAGAGUGA